AUCCAACUGACGAGUCCCAUAUAGGACGAAACGCGCAUCCUGGAU
Molecule: non-coding RNA, 45 nt
Filed under: Schistosoma mansoni
Lineage: Eukaryota; Metazoa; Platyhelminthes; Trematoda; Strigeidida; Schistosomatidae
Source: RNAcentral